GAUGAACGCUGGCGGCGUGCUUAACACAUGCAAGUCGAACGGGCUCACAGGGGUGCUUGCACUUUUUCGUUAGCGUGGCGCACGGGUGUGUCACACGGGAGUCACCUGUCCUUUUCUGUGGUAUCAGCAUGCGAAAGGGUGUUUAAUACCUUAUGUUCUUUCUGCCUCGCAUGGGGUGGUGGGGAAAGGCUUUGGCCGCAUUUGGGUGGGCUUGCGGGCUAUCAGAUUUUUGGUGGGAUGAUGGCUUACACAGGCUCUGACGGGUAGCCGGCCUGCGAGGGCGGUCGGUCAGAGUCGGACUGAGAUACGGCCCAGACUGCUGCGGGAGGCAGCAGUGGGGGAUGUUGCACAAUGUGCGGAAGCCUCAUGGAGCGAGGCCGCGUGGGGGAUGAAGGCUUACGGGUUGUUAACUUCUUUUGCUCUGAACGAGGGAUGCUAGGCAGUUUGUUGCGUGUAGUAGUCGAUUAGCGCCGGCUAACUACGUG
This 485-nucleotide ribosomal RNA is filed under the name uncultured bacterium. Its description in RNAcentral is "partial 16S ribosomal RNA". It matches the Rfam family "Bacterial small subunit ribosomal RNA", at positions 28 to 507 of the family's 1533-position model. The record is from RNAcentral.